Molecule: long non-coding RNA, 382 nt
Filed under: Equus asinus (donkey)
Lineage: Eukaryota; Metazoa; Chordata; Mammalia; Perissodactyla; Equidae
Description: lncRNA (ENSEASG00005035241.1)
Source: RNAcentral
GCCAACUCCUCAACACAGGGGUAGAUGGCAUUGAUAUCAACCUAUCUAAUGCUAAUUUAGGAAAACAAUCCUGAAAGAAAGAGUUCUACAGUGAAAAGAAGACUCUGUGAUUAGUCUGCUGGCCCAGCGGGAAUGGGCAGAGACCAUCUUUGUUUUAUUCACCAAUGGGUAUUCAGAACCUGGAACAGUGCUGGUGUGAGAUCCGAGGUCAGGGGGAUCAGGGUCUGCGUGUGUGUUGCCAGGAGGUGCUGAGAAGUUGGGGGAGUGACGUGUAAUCUUCUCCCCUUCCCUCAGUGGGAAAACAAAGAAGUGACUUUCCUUCCACUGAUUGCCAUAUGGGCCACUUCCUGAACCUGAAAGAGAUGCCGUACCCCGAACACCA